This 782-nucleotide ribosomal RNA is filed under the name uncultured marine archaeon. Its description in RNAcentral is "bacterial SSU rRNA". It matches the Rfam family "Archaeal small subunit ribosomal RNA", at positions 23 to 810 of the family's 1478-position model. The record is from RNAcentral.
CUGACUGCUAUCGGAUUGAUACUAAGCCAUGCGAGUCAUUGUAGUAAUACAAGGCAGACGGCUCAGUAACGCGUAGUCAACCUAACCUAUGGACGGGAAUAACCUCGGGAAACUGAGUAUAAUGCCCGAUAGAACAUUAUGCCUGGAAUGGUUUAUGUUCCAAAUGAUUUAUCGCCGUAGGAUGGGACUGCGGCCUAUCAGUUUGUUGGUGAGGUAAUGGCCCACCAAGACUAUUACAGGUACGGGCUCUGAGAGGAGUAGCCCGGAGAUGGGUACUGAGACACGGACCCAGGCCCUAUGGGGCGCAGCAGGCGAGAAAACUUUGCAAUGUGCGAAAGCACGACAAGGUUAAUCCGAGUGGUUUCUGCUAAAGGAACCUUUUGUCGGUCCUAGAAACACCGAUGAAUAAGGGGUGGGCAAGUUCUGGUGUCAGCCGCCGCGGUAAAACCAGCACCUCAAGUGGUCAGGAUGAUUAUUGGGCCUAAAGCAUCCGUAGCCGGCUCUGUUAGUUUUCGGUUAAAUCUGUACGCUUAACGUACAGGCUGCCGGGAAUACUGCAGAGCUAGGGAGUGGGAGAGGUAGACGGUACUCGGUAGGAAGGGGUAAAAUCCUUUGAUCUAUUGAUGACCACCUGUGGCGAAGGCGGUCUACCAGAACACGUCCGACGGUGAGGGAUGAAAGCUGGGGAGAGCAAACCGGAUUAGAUACCCGGGUAGUCCCAGCUGUAAACUAUGCAAACUCAGUGAUGCAUUGGCUUGUGGCCAAUGCAGUGCUGCAGGGAA